UUAAAGGGCAAAUGAAGCAAGAAUCAAUUUUUUUACAAAUUAAGGAGUUUUGUACAAUCACCCUUCUCAUGCAUUUCAGUUUCUCUUUGAAUGUAAAACCAGCUCCUGAUGGGAAACUUUCUUCAGGUCUUAUGUGAAUACAGAAUAACCUCAAGCCCCACGCCAAUAGUGACAACGUCCUCCAGCUCCCUCAACUGGAAGAAGACAUCUGCAUGGAAGAGAUCUCCCAGGAAAAAAUAGGAACAAAAGCUGCCAAACAAAAUGGGUUUGGGACUAGCAAAAGCGCCAAAAGGAGGAGGGAGGCUUCACGUUGAUCAGCUUUGCUUUCAAUAUCAAACAUGGCAUCAUAGAUCCCCGGGAAGGACUCUCCAGCAUACUUGUUGUGACUGCUUGGAGCAAAGAUGACAUGUCUGUGGGGACAGAAGAAAAAAAUACUUACUCUUUCUUGUCCACUUGUUCAAGUCUCCUGUGAAAUUCAGCAGCAGCCUUUGAGAAGUUCACCACAGCAGAAAAAAGAGGAUCUAGAAAAGGAAAGACUUUGUGAACAACUUCAGAGUAUCUGCUGAG
This is a long non-coding RNA of Grus americana (Whooping crane), 567 nucleotides long. RefSeq lists it as uncharacterized. The record is from RefSeq and is a predicted model, not a curated record. Lineage: Eukaryota; Metazoa; Chordata; Aves; Gruiformes; Gruidae. The transcript has 3 exons.